This 72-nucleotide transfer RNA is filed under the name Planctomycetes bacterium RBG_16_59_8. RNAcentral's name for it is "tRNA-Cys". It matches the Rfam family "tRNA". Rfam says of the family: Transfer RNA (tRNA) molecules are approximately 80 nucleotides in length. Their secondary structure includes four short double-helical elements and three loops (D, anti-codon, and T loops). Further hydrogen bonds mediate the characteristic L-shaped molecular structure. tRNAs have two regions of fundamental functional importance: the anti-codon, which is responsible for specific mRNA codon recognition, and the 3' end, to which the tRNAs corresponding amino acid is attached (by aminoacyl-tRNA synthetases). tRNAs cope with the degeneracy of the genetic code in two manners: having more than one tRNA (with a specific anti-codon) for a particular amino acid; and 'wobble' base-pairing, i.e. permitting non-standard base-pairing at the 3rd anti-codon position. The record is from RNAcentral. Lineage: Bacteria; Pseudomonadati; Planctomycetota.
GGUGGCGUAGCCAAGCGGUAAGGCAGCAGUUUGCAAAACUGCUAUUCGCCGGUUCGAAUCCGGCCGCCACCU